CUGCGCGCAGCGGGCGCUGGCGGAGCGGCACCGGGGGCCGGGCGUCUCUCAGCAGCGCCGGGCGCGGGGGAGAAGGCGGCACCGAGCCUGCUCCGGCGGCAGAGAGCUGCAGGGUAGUCUCCACAUAAUCCCAUCCAAAACUUUUUCCUAGAGCCCUUCUCUGCGUCUCCAGGUUUUGUUUUUCUUGGGCUUCGCCCGCCCCCGGCCCGCCAAGCCGGGGCAGCCCCUCACGGCGCGGGGGGAGGACGAGCCCUCCUCGGGCUGAGCCGAGCUGGCCCCUGCCGCUGCCCCCUGCCCGCGGCCGGCUGGAGGCACGACAGGUGCCGGGGCUCCGCGCACAGCCGGCUGCUCGCGGCUCGGGCCUGCCUAAAAGCCAGGCCCCCGGCCUCGGUAACCGGGGCGAGAGGCUCCGCUGAGCUGCCCGGGGCCGUCUGCCCGGGGGUGGUACUGCGGGGAUGGGGCUUGUGGCUGAGGGGCUGGGGUCCUGCAGGUUCUUGCAGCUCUAAGAUCUGGUGCUGGGUUAAACACCUCAUACAGGGCGCUCCCUUGAUCCUGGGAAGUGAAACACGAAGGGAAUGUUUUACAGAAGACUCAAAAGACUCUGAGUGCAGAUGAUUUCUCUUCUGACAGAAGCUGCGGCUUGAGCUACCUUCUAGUGAGACCUGUAGGGCCCACGUAAACAACAGAGCCCCUGCCUUCUUCUCUUUGGCACUUCACAGCUCUUUUUUGCUGAAGUGCUGCAUAUAGCACACUGUCUGCUUUACGCUAUUUGUAAACCAGGCAGGAUCUGUUUUGGUCUUUGUUUCUACUUGGCUUCAGAAGUCAGAACUGAGCUCACAGCAAGGGGUAUCCCCCCAUUACCACUAGUGAGGACUCAAGGACUGACAACAUGAAGCAACCAUUAAGACAGUGUUCAAACAUCCUUGCUGGAGCUGGAAACCUUUCCAGUUGGUUUGGACUCAGGUUUGAACCACGACUAUGUGAUGGGUCAGCGUAACAGGGCUGUGUUUUUUUGUCGUGGCGGUGUUUUUUAAUAGUGACUUCAGCCCCCAUAACUCUGAGGUAGUUUUGGGGACAGGCGGGAAGAACUAUGUAGCCGUGGUCUCACUGUCAGAGAAAGACACGGAAGAGAAACUGAGUCUGCACUACUGGAGUCUUGAGUACACACUACGUAGAUGUCUUAUCCUUUGACCCGGCUCUUUCCAUUAUAUAACUGAGCUGUUUCUUCGCCUCAGCCAAAGUAACCCUUGAGACAGUGAUAAACAUCCCCUCUGUUCCUAAUAAGUGACAUAUUUCUAGUAGCAACUGAAAGCUGUCCAGCCAAGCCGGGCUGUGUUCUGAAAGGCAGGCUUGGAGCAUACCAUAAAUAGCAACCCUUCCCUUACAGAGUGUGAAGAAAUAAAGUGACUGCACAGAACA
This 1419-nucleotide long non-coding RNA is filed under the name Anas platyrhynchos platyrhynchos (common mallard). RNAcentral describes it as "lncRNA (ENSAPLG00000018007.1)". The record is from RNAcentral. Lineage: Eukaryota; Metazoa; Chordata; Aves; Anseriformes; Anatidae.